Molecule: ribosomal RNA, 443 nt
Filed under: uncultured bacterium
Lineage: Bacteria
Description: partial 16S ribosomal RNA
Rfam family: Bacterial small subunit ribosomal RNA
Source: RNAcentral
CCUACGGGAGGCAGCAGUGGGGAAUAUUGGGCAAUGGGCGCAAGCCUGACCCAGCAACGCCGCGUGAAGGAAGAAGGCUUUCGGGUUGUAAACUUCUUUUCUCAGGGACGAAGCAAGUGACGGUACCUGAGGAAUAAGCCACGGCUAACUACGUGCCAGCAUCCGCGGUAAUACGUAGGUGGCAAGCGUUAUCCGGAUUUACUGGGUGUAAAGGGCGUGUAGGCGGGAAAGCAAGUCAGAUGUGAAAACCAUGGGCUCAACCUGUGGCCUGCAUUUGAUAAUGUUUUUCUUGAGUACUGGAGAGGCAGACGGAAUUCCUAGUGUAGCGGUGAAAUGCGGAGAUAUUAGGAGGAACACCAGUGGCGAAGGCGGUCUGCUGGACAGCAACUGACGCUGAGGCGCGAAAGCGUGGGGAGCAAACAGGAUUAGAUACCCGAGUAGUC